GUAAUAGCUCACUGGUCGAGUCGGCCUGCGCGGAAGAUGUAACGGGGCUAAACCAUGCACCGAAGCUGCGGCAGCGAACGUAUCACUUAAAGCGAUUCAGCGGAUUACGAUUGACGGAGCGAAGCGACGUCAAAGCGUAUACAAAGUCGAGUCGGUUUAAGGAUACGUUCGUUGGGUAGGGGAGCGUUCUGUAAGCCUGUGAAGGUGGCCUGUGAGGGUUGCUGGAGGUAUCAGAAGUGCGAAUGCUGACAUAAGUAACGAUAAAGCGGGUGAAAAGCCCGCUCGCCGGAAGACCA
RNAcentral lists this ribosomal RNA (296 nucleotides) under Salmonella enterica. RNAcentral describes it as "partial 23S ribosomal RNA". It matches the Rfam family "Bacterial large subunit ribosomal RNA", at positions 1134 to 1347 of the family's 2925-position model. The record is from RNAcentral. Lineage: Bacteria; Pseudomonadati; Pseudomonadota; Gammaproteobacteria; Enterobacterales; Enterobacteriaceae. RNAcentral also lists the same sequence under 2 other names.